AUAUAUUAAUCCUUGCUGGAUCCAAGGGUUCAAAGAGUCUUGAUUAAAUUCUAACCCUUUACUGGAUCCAGGAUUUUAGGGGAGUCUAGCACUCCCAAACUCACAACAUUAUUGUAAAUGGCAUUUGCAAGGCUUCAUCAGUAGUAAUGCAUUUAAUAUGACCGUCCGUUGAAACUGCUGAUUUUCUUAAUGGGCAUAAAACAUUGUAAAAAAGAGAGUUUACUGAAUUGCCUUUUCUUCCUUCAAUAUUGCACAUUCAUCGUUAUGAAGGGUAUUAAACUAAUUUAUCUUCCCAUUUCUAGCAUUGAGAACAUUAAUUCUGUUUCACUCUGCUGGAGCUUGGAAUUGAGAGACCUCAUUAAUGGCACUGAGGGGUGUUCUGAGGUCACAGAUAUUAUUUGGGUCCAAAGUUUAUUUAGUGUUUGCAUCCCCCAAACAGAUGUGGCAGAGAUUGCUGUAGUGUCGCUGCCUCUGGAAGAGAAAUGUUCUACAUCUCUUGUGGGUUCAGAGUACUCACCCACGGUAUUGCUCCCUGUCUUUGUGUAGGAUUCCAUUGCUAUAUCCUUGCCUGCCAGCCUUUGUAGAAGGCAGGUGUUGGGUAUUAGAAAGUUGUCCUCUCCUAGAAAGACAACAACCUCCCCCCCCCCAAAAGUUUUGCAAAUUCAUUCAUUCAUUCUUGCAUACAACACCUGCACAGUUAUUAGAAAAGUUUCAACAGUUUAGGAACAUGUCCUAAGAAGUUUCAUUUUAUUUUCAAACUUUUUAUUCGUGGUUUAAUAAUGGGAAUCAUUUAGAUACAGAAAAAAGAGAAUGGGAGGGGGGAAGCUGCCCUGCUGAUUGUUUAAUUUAACUGAGUAUGAGAUCUUAUACUUGCAUUGAAAAGCCCUUUCCUAUUAUUGAGUAGCAUUGGGAAGGAAAUAAGUAGGGGAUUAAAGAUUUCAUUUUGCAUUGUCUGUCAUUCUGAGCAAUUUAUGAGCUCUGCUUUACAGAUUAAGUCGAUUCCUAACUAAAGUUUAAGGAUAGGAGAAUUUCCCUCCCCCCUUUUAUUGCAAAUGGCAAUGCUUUGCUUGGGAAAUGAUUUCCUGCAUUCAUUUUUUUAAAAAAUCACCUUAAAAGUGGU
Molecule: non-coding RNA, 1120 nt
Organism: Podarcis lilfordi (Lilford's wall lizard)
Lineage: Eukaryota; Metazoa; Chordata; Lepidosauria; Squamata; Lacertidae
Source: the annotation of a GenBank genome assembly